Molecule: ribosomal RNA, 173 nt
Filed under: Bathylaimus sp. ESC017
Lineage: Eukaryota; Metazoa; Nematoda; Enoplea; Enoplida; Tripyloididae
Also listed under: 2 other names
Description: partial 18S ribosomal RNA
Rfam family: Eukaryotic small subunit ribosomal RNA
Source: RNAcentral
GGUGAGUCUGAAUAACUUAGCAGAUCGCACGGUCUAGCACCGGCGACGAAUCUUUCAAAUGUCUGCCUUAUCAACUGUCGAUGGUAGUUUACAUGCCUACCAUGGUGAUAACGGGUAACAGAGAAUAAGGGUUUGACUCUGGAGAGGCAGCCUGAGAGACGGCUACCACAUCC